GUAGGUCCCAAGGGUAUGGCUGUUCGCCAUUUAAAGUGGUACGCGAGCUGGGUUUAGAACGUCGUGAGACAGUUCGGUCCCUAUCUGCCGUGGGCGCUGGAGAACUGAGGGGGGCUGCUCCUAGUACGAGAGGACCGGAGUGGACGCAUCACUGGUGUUCGGGUUGUCAUGCCAAUGGCACUGCCCGGUAGCUAAAUGCGGAAGAGAUAAGUGCUGAAAGCAUCUAAGCACGAAACUUGCCCCGAGAUGAGUUCUCCCUGACCCUUUAAGGUCCUGAAGGAACGUUGAAGACGACGACGUUGAUAGGCCGGGUGUGUAAGCGCAGCGAUGCGUUGAGCUAACCGGUACUAAUGAACCGUGAGGCUUAACCUUACAACGCCGAAGGUGUUU
This 390-nucleotide ribosomal RNA is filed under the name Shigella flexneri. RNAcentral describes it as "partial 23S ribosomal RNA". It matches the Rfam family "Bacterial large subunit ribosomal RNA", at positions 2558 to 2925 of the family's 2925-position model. Lineage: Bacteria; Pseudomonadati; Pseudomonadota; Gammaproteobacteria; Enterobacterales; Enterobacteriaceae. The record is from RNAcentral.